UUAAUUAAGUAAAUAAAGAAAAAAUAAAAAGUGGUGGGGUGACAUCUCUAGUUCAAUCUCUCUCCUCACCCACCAUCUCAAUCUUUCUUCAUUUACGGUGGCUACCUCCACGCCAAGAAGCCGCCGCCGUAUUCCAGACGUCGCCGCUGCCCACUUCUCAUUUCUUGUUCAGCCUCGUCAGCUCUCUCUGCGUGGAUGAGAUGCCGGUGGAGCUGCUCGUCGAGGCUCUUCAGAUCUAUCUGAUCCGCCCUCACGAAUCCGCCGCCAGAGUGGACGUCUCCCUCCACCAUUUCUCCGGAAAGCGCAGAUGCAAUGUCAGUGGAGCUUACGGUGGGAACGCGCAAUAAGCGACGACCUUCAACAGCGAAAAGUUAAUCGGAAUCCCUUUCAAAAUUCUCUUUCUCAUUAAUUUUCUACAGGAUUCUCAAAAAUUGGUCAAAACCCUAACAGAUCUGAGGCAAAAAUUCUCUUCCUCGUCAGAUUUUUGACAAAUGCCCCAAAACAUUGAGAAAACGGUUGAGAAAUCGAAGGGAUUCAUGCAGCUGUUCAAAUUUCUAAAUGAAAAGGAAAUGAUCCCAAUAGAUUGUAAAUAGAAGUGACAAAAAGGCAAAUCAUUGAACAGAAAUUGUAAAAUGAGGUCAGUGCCUUUUUAUGAGAAUAAAACCGAUCACUUAAAUUGAAUAAGACUGUGUAUUAAGUUCAGAAAAGGAACAAAUAAUUUCAUUCAUUAGUUGUAGGAACUUCGCGAACCAAAAUAUGAAUGAGAGAUAGCACUCAAGAUUUCAAAGAUAAGGUGCAUCACAACAAUGACAAAUACAGGUUAGAAAACUACCUUCGUAGUGUUGUGCUAAGUAGUUAUAGAAAUUUAAAAAAACAUAAGUAACAUUAAGACAUAAUAUGAAACUAAAACAGAAAAAAUAGUGAUAUAGCAGAAACUGAAAGAAAUACAUUAAGAAUAAAGACUGCAGACUCAUAGAAGAAUAGAUAAACAAUAAAUAGGCUGUGAUUUAAGAAAAAAUAGAUGAAUUAAGAAGAAAGAUUCUAAACUAUUUCAGAUGAUGAUUCUGCUGAAUGAUUUUGGUUGAGAGAGUUUAGUGAGAGUGACUGAAGGAGUGAGUGGCAAGGGUAUUUAUAGUCUCACCUCUUCAGCAUGCUUAUUGGAAAAUUGUGCAUGUUCCCAAAAAAAAAUAAAAUCAUGAGAGACCUUCCACAUAAGAACUAUUUUUUAUUUAUACAAAAUAUCUGAUAAUAAUAUUCAGACUUAAAAUACUUUAACAACUUGCAUGCCAAAUAUUUACAAAGUCUUUUACACUUAUAUUCAUAUUCAUAUUAAUAUUAAUUAUUAAUUAAUAUUAAUAUGAAUAUAAGUUAAAUAUUACAAAUUCAUGUCUCAUAAAUUCGGCCCAUUUAAUUUCAUAAGUUUGCAACCAUAUAAAUCAUUUAAAGCCCAAUUCAUUUCAACAAUUAUUAACUUCACUUGUAUUAUAUAUAGUAUAAGUGACUUAUUGAGUUAAAAAAAAACUAACCCUAAAAAUAUAAUAGCUGCCUCUCACUCUCCACUAUUCAGAAAAAAUGAAAUAGAAAGGAAAAGAAAAGCGGCAUCUUUCUCUUCACUCUACAAUCAUUAUAGAGAGAAGAUAACAUUGCAAGCAUGGGCGGCUACAACACCUACUCUACUCCAUAAGGAUAUCAAGAUAUUAAAAAAAGGGAUUAAUUGCGUUGGGAAGAGAUGAAAAGAUAUUCUGGAAGAAUAGAAUAUACAAUAUACAUAUAUUGUGUAAUAUAAUAGUAUUUCUUUUACAAAAGUCUAUGCAAGUAUAAAACACAUAGGCUGCAUCCUACCCCCACACAAUUCUUGGUACAUACAAAGUGAUAUAAGCUUUACUUUUAA
Molecule: long non-coding RNA, 1891 nt
Organism: Salvia splendens (bonfire salvia)
Lineage: Eukaryota; Viridiplantae; Streptophyta; Magnoliopsida; Lamiales; Lamiaceae
Exons: 3
Source: RefSeq, a predicted model, not a curated record